ACAUUGAAAAGGGUGACCCAGCCAGACACCAUGCAAAAGCAGUCUUCCCUUUUAAAUGACUGAUAUGCUAAGUUAUUUCAUAGCAUAUCAUUUUGUUAAAGGUGAACACAAAU
Small nucleolar RNA from Otolemur garnettii (small-eared galago), 113 nucleotides. The record is from Ensembl. NCBI's taxonomy places the organism in Eukaryota, Metazoa, Chordata, Mammalia, Primates, Galagidae.